GAUGAACGCUGGCGGCGUGCUUAACACAUGCAAGUCGAACGGGAAACCUUUUAUUGAAGCUUCGGCAGAUUUAGCUGGUUUCUAGUGGCGGACGGGUGAGUAACGCGUGGGUAACCUGCCUUAUACAGGGGGAUAACAACCAGAAAUGGUUGCUAAUACCGCAUAAGCGCACAGGACCGCAUGGUCCGGUGUGAAAAACUCCGGUGGUAUAAGAUGGACCCGCGUUGGAUUAGCUAGUUGGCAGGGUAACGGCCUACCAAGGCGACGAUCCAUAGCCAGCCUGAGAGGGUGAACGGCCACAUUGGGACUGAGACACGGCCCAGACUCCUACGGGAGGCAGCAGUGGGGAAUAUUGCACAAUGGGGGAAACCCUGAUGCAGCGACGCCGCGUGAAGGAAGAAGUAUCUCGGUAUGUAAACUUCUAUCAGCAGGGAAGAUAGUGACGGUACCUGACUAAGAAGCCCCGGCUAACUACGUG
Molecule: ribosomal RNA, 478 nt
Filed under: uncultured bacterium
Lineage: Bacteria
Description: partial 16S ribosomal RNA
Rfam family: Bacterial small subunit ribosomal RNA
Source: RNAcentral